AAAUUGAAGAGUUUGAUCAUGGCUCAGAUUGAACGCUGGCGGCAGGCCUAACACAUGCAAGUCGAACGGUAACAGGAAACAGCUUGCUGUUUCGCUGACGAGUGGCGGACGGGUGAGUAAUGUCUGGGAAACUGCCUGAUGGAGGGGGAUAACUACUGGAAACGGUAGCUAAUACCGCAUAACGUCGCAAGACCAAAGAGGGGGACCUUAGGGCCUCUUGCCAUCGGAUGUGCCCAGAUGGGAUUAGCUAGUAGGUGG
This 258-nucleotide ribosomal RNA is filed under the name Escherichia coli. RNAcentral describes it as "partial 16S ribosomal RNA". It matches the Rfam family "Bacterial small subunit ribosomal RNA", at positions 1 to 255 of the family's 1533-position model. The record is from RNAcentral. Lineage: Bacteria; Pseudomonadati; Pseudomonadota; Gammaproteobacteria; Enterobacterales; Enterobacteriaceae.